GGGCCCUUAGCUCAGUUGGUUAGAGCGACGGACUCAUAAUCCGUUGGUCGCUGGUUCAAGUCCGGCAGGGCCCACAA
RNAcentral lists this transfer RNA (77 nucleotides) under Ectothiorhodospiraceae bacterium. RNAcentral's name for it is "tRNA-Met". It matches the Rfam family "tRNA". From Rfam's summary of the family: Transfer RNA (tRNA) molecules are approximately 80 nucleotides in length. Their secondary structure includes four short double-helical elements and three loops (D, anti-codon, and T loops). The record is from RNAcentral. Lineage: Bacteria; Pseudomonadati; Pseudomonadota; Gammaproteobacteria; Chromatiales; Ectothiorhodospiraceae.